RNAcentral lists this transfer RNA (65 nucleotides) under Gymnogeophagus balzanii. RNAcentral describes it as "tRNA-Cys". Lineage: Eukaryota; Metazoa; Chordata; Actinopteri; Cichliformes; Cichlidae. The record is from RNAcentral.
CCACCGAGGUGUGUUACACAUCAGUUUGCAAACCUGAAGUAGCAGGCUAAUUCCUGCCGGGGCUU